GACAGAGGCUGCCUGCAAGCCAGGAGAGGAGGCUUCGUCGGAAGCCUACCUUGCCAGCCUCUUGAUCUUGGAUUUCCCAGACUCUGGAAUGUGAUGUGUAACACACACAGUGACUCUGAUGAAUGAGAAGCACUGUCAGGACUCCUGAAGCGGCCAGGACCUUAACGAGCUCGACACAGCCCAACGCGGUAACGGUUAUGGCACUGUGAGGUUCUUCCAAGCUUGGUUGGCUGAAUGAGUGAAACACAUCUGCAGCUGUCUGACAGGAGAGAAAGAUACGU
Molecule: long non-coding RNA, 281 nt
Organism: Prionailurus viverrinus (fishing cat)
Lineage: Eukaryota; Metazoa; Chordata; Mammalia; Carnivora; Felidae
Exons: 3
Source: RefSeq, a predicted model, not a curated record